Molecule: non-coding RNA, 205 nt
Filed under: Photobacterium halotolerans
Lineage: Bacteria; Pseudomonadati; Pseudomonadota; Gammaproteobacteria; Vibrionales; Vibrionaceae
Description: GcvB RNA
Rfam family: GcvB RNA
About the family: The gcvB gene encodes a small untranslated RNA involved in expression of the dipeptide and oligopeptide transport systems in Escherichia coli. Included several unknown homologues in alignment (Bateman A pers obs). It base-pairs with SorC.
Source: Rfam by way of RNAcentral
AAUCUCAAGGGUAACACGCUGUAAUUUUUGCUUAACCGCAAAUGUUUUCUCAGAUUUUUACCCCUCAGAUUGCAAUGUUGUGUUUGCAUAUUGCCCGGUCUCUUCUGGGCGGGUAGCCGGAGUGCUACCGAUUUACUUCCUGUUUUUUUGACCUGUCUGUCAAAACUUCUUUAUGGCACUGCGCCCCAACGCGGUGCCAUUUUUU